RNAcentral lists this ribosomal RNA (452 nucleotides) under uncultured bacterium. RNAcentral's name for it is "bacterial SSU rRNA". It matches the Rfam family "Bacterial small subunit ribosomal RNA", at positions 340 to 786 of the family's 1533-position model. The record is from RNAcentral.
UACGGGAGCAGCAGUGGGGAAUAUUGCACAAUGGGCGCAAGCCUGAUGCAGCCAUGCCGCGUGUAUGAAAAAGGCCUUCGGGUUGUAAAGUACUUUCAGUCGUGAGGAAGGUGUUAAGGUUAAUAACCUUAGCAAUUGACGUUAGCGACAGAAGAAGCACCGGCUAACUCCGUGCCAGCAGCCGCGGUAAUACGGAGGGUGCGAGCGUUAAUCGGAAUUACUGGGCGUAAAGGGCACGCAGGCGGUUAAUUAAGUUGGAUGUGAAAUCCCCGGGCUUAACCUGGGAAUGGCAUUCAAGACUGGUUAGCUAGAGUCUUGUAGAGGGGGUAGAAUUCCAUGUGUAGCGGUGAAAUGCGUAGAGAUGUGGAGGAAUACCGGUGGCGAAGGCGGCCCCUGGACAAAGACUGACGCUCAUGUGCGAAAGCGUGGGGAGCAAACAGGGAUUAGAUACC